RNAcentral lists this long non-coding RNA (785 nucleotides) under Dicentrarchus labrax (European seabass). RNAcentral describes it as "lncRNA (ENSDLAG00005034038.1)". Lineage: Eukaryota; Metazoa; Chordata; Actinopteri; Moronidae. The record is from RNAcentral.
UUUCUUCUCUGGUGUUCUUUGUGGUUAUCGUGGUGCUGCUGUCCAUUAUUUACCGCAAGGAUCCUCAGUGCUGCAAACUGCGCUCCUAUCAAGGGCCACAUGCAGAUAUGGAUGCUCUUCCUCAGUACUACAGCAGCAGGCAGACACUGGUGGGGUCUCCUUGUCUCGAGCAGACUCAGAUCAUGGACGACACUCAGGUGAGAGAGUGACUGGCAUCAUCAGCCCCACAAAGCAGCGGCCUCCUCUCCUGUGUGGCAGCUAAUAAAGACACAUACUGUACAGUGGCUCUGAAGUGAAUGUUUCAAUGACUGCAGCUGUGUUAUGGUUCAAAGUGGGUUUCAGUGAUGGGGUAUAUUCGGACCAUUAUCCACAAGUCCUCCGCACAUAAAAGCUUCUGUUUCCUGGCCCAUAUAACCGUCCCUCUGUGUGUGUGUGUGUCUCAGCAGGCGGGUCAGCUUUUCUACGUCGGCCUGCCCUCCAGCUACAGCCUGCCCACACUGGAGGCCCCCCUGCCGAGGCUCCCCUCCUACGAGAGUGUCCGAAAGAAGGACCGCCAGAGGCAGAUCCACAUGAUGAUCGCGGACCGCUUCGGCCUCAAUGGGCCCAUUGUGACUGAGCCUCCUCCAACAUAUGAAGAGAGCAUCCGCCAGUCUUUGGAGCUGCCAUACAACAUCCUCUCAUCCAGUCUGGACAUCUCAUCUCCUCAGAGCAUCUACACCAACACAGGACCCGACACACCUCAUCCAGUCAGCUCCGACCCCGACAGCCCUGUUCUACCUGUGUGA